GGAUUGCCCCAGUAACGGCGAGUGAAGUGGCAACAGCUCAAAUUUGAAAUCUGGCCCCUUUGGGGUCCGAGUUGUAAUUUGCAGAGGAUGCUUCGGCGUUGGCCCUGGGCCAAGUCCCCUGGAACGGGGUGCCCUAGAGGGUGAGAGCCCCGUACACACCCGGGUGUCCUUCGCCGUGCGAAGCUCCUUCGACGAGUCGAGUUGUUUGGGAAUGCAGCUCUAAGUGGGAGGUAAAUUUCUUCUAAAGCUAAAUAUCGGCCAGAGACCGAUAGCGCACAAGUAGAGUGAUCGAAAGAUGAAAAGCACUUUGGAAAGAGAGUUAAAAAGCACGUGAAAUUGUUGAAAGGGAAGCUCUUGCCGCCAGACUUGCCGUGGAUGCUCAGCCGCCCCCUGGGGCGGUGUAAUCUUCCCCCGGCAGGCCAGCGUCGGUUUAGGCGACCGGAUAAAGGCCCCGGGGAUGUGGCACCCCUAGGGGUGUGUUAUAACCCGGGGCCGAAUGCGGUCAGCCUGGUCCGAGGAAUGCGUUCGCGAGGACGCUGGCGUAAUGGCCGUAAGCGACCCGUCUUGAAACACGGACCAAGGAGUCUAACAUCUGUGCGAGUGCUUNGGUGUUAAACCCAUGCGCGCAAUGAAAGUGAACGGAGGUGGGAACCCCCUUGAGGGGUGCACCAUCGACCGAUCCUGAUGUGCUCGGAUGGAUUUGAGUAAGAGCAUAGCUGUUGGGACCCGAAAGGUAAGCGAUCCCCGUUGUCUCUAUGCACGCUCGUGGAUCGAUGCUAACGGUUAUUUGCAGAUGGUGAACUAUUCCCGGAUAGGGUGAAGCCAGAGGAAACUCUGGUGGAGGCUCGCAGCGGUUCUGACGUGCAAAUCGAUCGUCAAAUCUAGGAAUAGGGGCGAAAGACUAAUCGAACC
Molecule: ribosomal RNA, 912 nt
Filed under: Chiodecton colensoi
Lineage: Eukaryota; Fungi; Ascomycota; Arthoniomycetes; Arthoniales; Roccellaceae
Description: LSU rRNA
Rfam family: Eukaryotic large subunit ribosomal RNA
Source: RNAcentral